ACAAAUCUUAAUGCAAGAAUCGAUGCCACGUCAAGAAAAGAAACACGUUCGGACGAACUGUGGAACGACCGAACUAGCCACUUUAUCCACCCGAACGACCCACAUGACUCCUCGCCCUAAUUCCCCAUCCCCGCAACACUUCCUCUCAUCUCCUUCCUCGGCCCACCGUCGCCAAAUCCUCCAUCUCCCAUCGACUAUGAUGCGGCAACAACCACGAAUCCAACGAUUGACGGCGACAGAGAGCAUGGCUUCGCCCGUGCAUGAGCACAUGGACGCGGGGACAAUGAGGAGACG
RNAcentral lists this long non-coding RNA (294 nucleotides) under Hordeum vulgare. RNAcentral describes it as "long non-coding RNA (HVUL_LNC021714)". The record is from RNAcentral. Lineage: Eukaryota; Viridiplantae; Streptophyta; Magnoliopsida; Poales; Poaceae.